CAGGCCUAACACAUGCAAGUCGAACGGUGGCAGCAAUGCCAUAGUGGCGCACGGGUGCGUAACACGUAACUAACCUGCCCAGACCUGGGGGAUAGCCCGCCGAGAGGCGGAUUAAUACCGCAUGAGAUAAUAAGGUGGCAUCACCUAGUUAUUAAAGAUUUAUCGGGUUUGGAUGGGGUUGCGGGUCAUUAGCUAGUUGGUAAGGUAAUGGCUUACCAAGGCGACGAUGACUAGGGGAGCUGAGAGGCUGGUCCCCCACACGGGCACUGAGAUACGGGCCCGACUCCUACGGGAGGCAGCAGUAGGGAAUAUUGGGCAAUGGGCGAGAGCCUGACCCAGCCAUGCCGCGUGCAGGAAGAAGGCUUUCUGAGUCGUAAACUGCUUUUGAUAGGGAAGAAUAACCAGUACGUGUACUGGGAUGACGGUACCUACAGAAUAAGCACCGGCUAACUCCGUGCCAGCAGCCGCGGUAAU
RNAcentral lists this ribosomal RNA (474 nucleotides) under uncultured bacterium. RNAcentral's name for it is "bacterial SSU rRNA". It matches the Rfam family "Bacterial small subunit ribosomal RNA", at positions 43 to 524 of the family's 1533-position model. The record is from RNAcentral.